AACUAAGGCAGUUAUAUUUGGAGUAGCAAGGAGAUUUGCAAAAACUGGGAGGUUGUGAUCUGGAGAUUGUUUUGCAUCAUUGCUAUGAUGACAACCAAGUUUAUUGCUUCUGCAGUGAAUUGAGAAAUGGUUGGAGGAUGUUGAAUCUCCUAACUCCUCACCCUGAUUUGAAAUGGAUGGAAGUUUUGUGUUCAUUUUUCCUUAAGGUUGAGGUAUGGUGUGGCUUUAGAUCUGAAAAAUAGAAAAGAUCAUACAGCUGUAUUCAUGAAAUUUAGCAAUGUGAUGAAAGAAUCUCAAUAAUUUGUCGCCAAUAAUUUGAAUAAAUGAAAGGCAAACAUGUUCCUCCAAUUCAAAAUUUUGUUUGGGAAUUGGAAGUGUUUAGGUCAGAAACGAGGUGAAUUAAGCAACUAGUUUCUGUUAAUAUAAUAAUUUUGGUACAAGUUAAGUUGGACUAAUAAUGAAAAUUGCAGCCGUUUACCAUCUGAAUCUCAUGGCCUUUCGCUUGCUGGGUCGGUGACUAUAGCAUAUUGAGUUGAUUUUAU
RNAcentral lists this unclassified non-coding RNA (542 nucleotides) under Hevea brasiliensis (rubber tree). The record is from RNAcentral. Lineage: Eukaryota; Viridiplantae; Streptophyta; Magnoliopsida; Malpighiales; Euphorbiaceae.